AUGCCUGUCUCGUGGUCUCAGGGAUCAGGGAUCAACAAAUCCUAUAGAAGUCUGCAAACUGAACGAAGCACACGCAAAAGAUCAAGUGUUUCUCUCUUCUUCUUGUUUGCACAAAUCUCUUCUAGCUCCGGCGCCAGGGCCGGCCGGGAGGCUGCUGCGGCGACCUCCACUCACGCCGCGCAGCCGGUGGUGGCAAAGGCGGCGCUCGUUGGGAGCACUCCGCGCGCGGCCAGGCCGACGUGCGCCUCCGCGCAGAAGAGCGGCGGCGGGGGCUGCGAGGGGCACCGCGCAUGCCGGUACGCCUACUGCUCCUUCAAGGGCCACGCGCCCGCGGCGCCGCCGCUGGGGGCCUUCCUGGCGUCCCGGAGCAGAGCAUGA
RNAcentral lists this ribosomal RNA (378 nucleotides) under Triticum aestivum (bread wheat). Its description in RNAcentral is "partial small subunit ribosomal RNA". Lineage: Eukaryota; Viridiplantae; Streptophyta; Magnoliopsida; Poales; Poaceae. The record is from RNAcentral.